RNAcentral lists this ribosomal RNA (884 nucleotides) under uncultured bacterium. Its description in RNAcentral is "bacterial SSU rRNA". It matches the Rfam family "Bacterial small subunit ribosomal RNA", at positions 1 to 886 of the family's 1533-position model. The record is from RNAcentral.
GCUUAGAGUUUGAUCCUGGCUCAGAGUGAACGCUGGCGGCAUGGUUAAGACAUGCAAGUCGAGCGAUGAAGCCCCUUCGGGGGUGGAAGAGCGGCAAACGGGUGCGUAACACGUGAGAAACCUGCCCUGAAGCGGGGGACAACCGGGGGAAACUCCGGCUAAUACCGCAUGUGGCGCCUCUUCGCAUGAAGAGCGCGUUAAAGCUAGAAUUGGCACUUCAGGAGGGUCUCGCGGCCUAUCAGCUUGUUGGUGAGGUAACGGCUCACCAAGGCUAAGACGGGUAACUGGUCUGAGAGGAUGAUCAGUCACACUGGAACUGAGAUACGGUCCAGACACCUACGGGUGGCAGCAGUUUCGAAUCAUUCACAAUGGGCGCAAGCCUGAUGGUGCAAUGCCGCGUGGGGGAUGAAGGCCUUCGGGUUGUAAACCCCUGUCACCAGGGACUAAAAAACGGUGAAGAGCCGUCUUGAAUUAACCUGGAGAGGAAGAGGUGGCUAACUCCGUGCCAGCAGCCGCGGUAAUACGGGGACCUCGAGCGUUACUCGGAUUCACUGGGCGUAAAGGGAGCGCAGGCGGGCUGGUAUGUCAGAUGUGAAAUCUCGGAGCUUAACUCCGAAACUGCGUUUGAAACUACCAGUCUAGAGGCUCGGAGAGGCAAGUGGAAUUCCAGGUGUAGCGGUGAAAUGCGUAGAUAUCUGGAGGAACACCAAUGGCGAAGGCAGCUUGCUGGACGAGACCUGACGCUCAGGCUCGAAAGCGUGGGUAGCGAAAGGGAUUAGAUACCCCUGUAGUCCACGCCGUAACGUUGUACACUAGGUUUUGGAGGAUUCGACCCCUUCGGAGCCCAAGCUAACGCGAUAAGUGUACCGCCUGAGGACUACGAC